Molecule: long non-coding RNA, 1577 nt
Filed under: Marmota monax (woodchuck)
Lineage: Eukaryota; Metazoa; Chordata; Mammalia; Rodentia; Sciuridae
Source: RNAcentral
UCACAUGCACAAAGCCCUGGGUUUAAUCCUCAGCUUCAAAAGGAUUAUGGGCUAAAGCAAAGUGAUCUAGUUUCCAAGUCUCAAAUAUCCAAGAGUCCCUGGAAAAAUUCAUGUUGUAAGAGACAAAUAUAUGUAAAGCACUCAGUACUAUGCCUACCACACAGUAUAUGGUGAAUGAAGGCUGACCAUAAUUUUCAUUACUUUUAUCAAAGUACCUUAUAAAACAAAAAACAAAAGUGAAAUACAAUACUUAUUCAGAAAAGUGUAUCGAACAGAGUUUCUAAUGAAUAAUUACUAAUUUUGUAUCUGCAUAUUAGCCUAUUUUCUGUUACUAUAACAAAAUAUCUGAAGCCUGGUGUUUACAAACAAAAGAGGUUUAUUUCUGUUGAUAGUACUGGAGGUUCAACAUGUCACUGCAUUCUGCUCAGCCUUGAUGAAGGUGUCUUUGCUGUGUCACAACAUGUUGAUUAGCCCAUGGUAGGAGUAUGUAUGAGAGGGAGACAUCAUCUGGCAAGACAAGAAACCAGAGAUUCAGGGGUCAAGCUUGCUUCUUCAUAACAACUUACUCUUCAGAAAACUCACUCAUUCUAGGAGAAUAAAUCCUUUCUGAGGUUGCUGGCCCUAGAGAUGCCUAUUGUAUUGAGAUGUUUUUACUUACCGAUUUGGAGGUAUUCUUUAUGUAUUUUAAUUCUGAUAAAAAUACACACCACAUGAGGGCUAGGGUUGUGGCUCAGUGGCAGAGUGCUGGCCUAGGAUACAUGAGGCACUGGAUUUGAUCCUCAGCACCACGUAAAAAUAAAAUAAAGAUACUGUGUCAAAAAAAAUACACACCACAUGAAAUUUACUGUCUUAACCAUUUUUAACUGUGCAGUUCAGUGGUAUUAAAUAUAUUGAUAAUGUUAUUCAACCAUCAUCACAAUGUAUUUUCAUAACUCUUUUCAUAUUGUAAGACUGAAAGUCUAAACUUAUUGAACAAUAACUCCUUAUUCCCCUUUCCUUUCAGCUACCAAUAGUCAUCAUUUAUUUUCUGCCUGUAUGAUUUUGACUACUGUAACUCAUGUAACUGUAAUCAUAUAGUAUUUGUCUGAUUUAUUUCACUUAACAUAAUUUCCUCAAGGUUCAUCCCUUUUAUAGCAUAGAUCACAAUUUCCUUCCUUUUAAGGCUGAAUAAUAUUCCAUUGUAUACAUAUGUAUAUCAAAGUUUGCUUAUCCAUUUAUCCAUCCAUGGACACAUAGGUUGCUUCCACGUUUUAGCUGUUGUGAAUAAUAGCUGUUAUGUAACUGGAUGUAUAAGCAUCUCAUAAAAUCCUGCUUUCACUUAUCUUGUGUUUAUACUCUGUUGCUGGGUGAUAUGGUGAUUCUAUUUUUAAUAUUUGAGGACCAACCAUAUUGUUUUUCUUAGCAGUUGCACAGUUUUACAUUUCUACUAACAGUAUACAAGGCUUCCAAUUUCUCUACAUUCUUGCUACACUUCUUAUUUUCUAAUUUUUUUUUUUUACAUUAGUCAUCCUAGUGGGUAUGGGUGUGAGGUGAUAUCUCACUGUAGUUUGCUUUUUUAAAUAUUUUUUAGAUGGACA